Molecule: ribosomal RNA, 498 nt
Filed under: uncultured bacterium
Lineage: Bacteria
Description: partial 16S ribosomal RNA
Rfam family: Bacterial small subunit ribosomal RNA
Source: RNAcentral
AUUGAACGCUGGCGGCAUGCCUUACACAUGCAAGUCGAACGGUAACAGGUCUUCGGAUGCUGACGAGUGGCGAACGGGUGAGUAAUACAUCGGAACGUGCCUAGUAGAGGGGGAUAACUACUCGAAAGAGUGGCUAAUACCGCAUGAGAUCUACGGAUGAAAGCAGGGGAUCGCAAGACCUUGUGCUACUAGAGCGGCCGAUGGCAGAUUAGGUAGUUGGUGGGAUAAAAGCCUACCAAGCCGACGAUCUGUAGCUGGUCUGAGAGGACGAUCAGCCACACUGGGACUGAGACGCGGCCCAGACUCCUACGGGAGGCAGCAGUGGGGAAUUUUGGACAAUGGGCGCAAGCCUGAUCCAGCAAUGCCGCGUGCAGGAUGAAGGCCUUCGGGUUGUAAACUGCUUUUGUACGGAACGAAAAGCCCCGGGUUAAUACCCUGGGGUCAUGACGGUACCGUAAGAAUAAGCACCGGCUAACUACGUGCCAGCCGCCGCUGUAA